This is a long non-coding RNA of Protopterus annectens (West African lungfish), 879 nucleotides long. RefSeq lists it as uncharacterized. The transcript has 3 exons. The record is from RefSeq and is a predicted model, not a curated record. Lineage: Eukaryota; Metazoa; Chordata; Ceratodontiformes; Protopteridae.
UCAUCUUGAGAAUAUUAGAAUUUACAACAUCUGGAGUAGAUUUUCUGGUGAUAAUGAAGACUAGUACAGACUGCUUUGGCUCAUGCAGUUUCAUAUAGACUCUUUUUGUUCAAGUCAUCAUUUGGCAUUGACAGCUGCUUAUUCUGCUUUCAGAAGGUUUAUUCAAUGUCUUAUUUGUAUCUAAAUUUACUGGUUACAUCUUUGAAAAAAGUAUGGAUACAUUGAGACAACUUUUCCACAGAGUUGGCCAUUAUGUGUUCAUUUUUAUGGAUAGAGCAAAACAGCUUUACCAAAGAAUAUGCAUUUGUCUUGAGCCCUGUUGUCCUAGUCUGGCUGUUGCAUCCAGGUUUCAGCCAAGGAAGAGUGUACCCCGUCAGACUGAACAAUUUUGUCAUUUUUAUUUGCCAGUCAACAGAUCUUCUCAACUACCAUCAUUCAUUCUUAAUGGAGAGAUAUUUGUCUACAUUGAUGGUUGCUGGAAACAUGAAAAUGAGAAUUUUUUAUUGAAGAAACAUGUAAGAAAUUUGCACCAGAAGAACAAAGCUGUUAUUGUGGAAAUCAUCUAUUUAAAGGUUGAGGAAGAGGUGCUUUUUGAUGUGUUAUAUGAUGUUGUAGCAGAUCUCAGACUAAAAGAAGAGAAGUUGGAAACCUUUGCAAUUUCUGAUGGACAUGAGAAAAUGCCUUUUCGUGGUUCAACCACAAUUACAUGUCAGAAAUCACCAGAAGAGCAAAGCUGUUGAUAAGGUCAGCUAUUUAAAUGGAUUUUCCAACAACACUCUUGAAAAAAAAUCAUAGCCAUCUUGAUGUUUCAGCCCCAGCUGAUUAGACUUAGUUUUUCUGAUUGGUUUUCAUUUGAUGUAAAUAUAAUUAUAAGGAAGA